UUGAACGCUGGCGGCAGGCCUAACACAUGCAAGUCGAGCGGAUGAGGGAGCUUGCUCCUGGCUUCAGCGGCGGACGGGUGAGUAAUGCCUAGGAAUCUGCCUGGUAGUGGGGGAUAACGUCCGGAAACGGGCGCUAAUACCGCAUACGUCCUGAGGGAGAAAGUGGGGGAUCUUCGGACCUCACGCUAUCAGAUGAGCCUAGGUCGGAUUAGCUAGUUGGUGGGGUAAAGGCCUACCAAGGCGACGAUCCGUAACUGGUCUGAGAGGAUGAUCAGUCACACUGGAACUGAGACACGGUCCAGACUCCUACGGGAGGCAGCAGUGGGGAAUAUUGGACAAUGGGCGAAAGCCUGAUCCAGCCAUGCCGCGUGUGUGAAGAAGGUCUUCGGAUUGUAAAGCACUUUAAGUUGGGAGGAAGGGCAGUAAGUUAAUACCUUGCUGUUUUGACGUUACCAACAGAAUAAGCACCGGCUAACUUCGUG
Molecule: ribosomal RNA, 482 nt
Filed under: uncultured bacterium
Lineage: Bacteria
Description: partial 16S ribosomal RNA
Rfam family: Bacterial small subunit ribosomal RNA
Source: RNAcentral